AGUCGGAUAACUGGGUCAAAUGGUGGUUCCAUUCCUAGUUUUCUGAGGAAUCUCCAUACUGCUUUCCAGAGUGGUUAUACCAAUUUGCAUUCCCACCAGCAAU
Molecule: microRNA precursor, 103 nt
Filed under: Marmota monax (woodchuck)
Lineage: Eukaryota; Metazoa; Chordata; Mammalia; Rodentia; Sciuridae
Source: RNAcentral